GACGAACCUUGCUAACGUUAUUCGGAAUUACUGGGCGUAAAGAGCGCGCAGGCGGUCGUUCAAGUCGCGUGUGAAAGCCCCCGGCUCAACUGGGGAGGGUCACGCGAUACUGAUCGACUCGAAGGCAGGAGAGGGUAGUGGAAUUCCCGGUGUAGUGGUGAAAUGCGUAGAUAUCGGGAGGAACACCAGUGGCGAAGGCGACUACCUGGCCUGUUCUUGACGCUGAGGCGCGAAAGCUAGGGGAGCAAACGGG
RNAcentral lists this ribosomal RNA (253 nucleotides) under uncultured bacterium. Its description in RNAcentral is "partial 16S ribosomal RNA". It matches the Rfam family "Bacterial small subunit ribosomal RNA", at positions 524 to 776 of the family's 1533-position model. The record is from RNAcentral.